Molecule: ribosomal RNA, 308 nt
Filed under: uncultured bacterium
Lineage: Bacteria
Description: bacterial SSU rRNA
Rfam family: Bacterial small subunit ribosomal RNA
Source: RNAcentral
GACGAACGCUGGCGGCGUGCUUAACACAUGCAAGUCGAACGAUGAAGCUGGAGCUUGCUCCGGUGGAUUAGUGGCGAACGGGUGAGUAACACGUGAGCAAUCUGCCCUUGACUCUGGGAUAACUGCGGGAAACUGUAGCUAAUACCGGAUACUUUCCUCGGUGGGCAUCCACUGGGGAAGAAAGAAUUUCGGUCAAGGAUGAGCUCGCGACCUAUCAGCUUGUUGGUGAGGUAAUGGCUCACCAAGGCGACGACGGGUAGCCGGCCUGAGAGGGUGACCGGCCACACUGGGACUGAGACACGGCCCAG